GCUUACGGCCAUACCAGCCCAAGAACGCCCGGUCUCGUCUGAUCUCGGAAGCUAAGAAGGACUUGGGCCUGGUUAGUACUUGGAUGGGAGAACUCCUGGAAAUACCAGGUGCUGUAAGCU
Molecule: ribosomal RNA, 120 nt
Organism: Denticeps clupeoides (denticle herring)
Lineage: Eukaryota; Metazoa; Chordata; Actinopteri; Clupeiformes; Denticipitidae
Source: Ensembl